This 481-nucleotide ribosomal RNA is filed under the name uncultured Flavobacteriia bacterium. RNAcentral describes it as "bacterial SSU rRNA". It matches the Rfam family "Bacterial small subunit ribosomal RNA", at positions 414 to 896 of the family's 1533-position model. Lineage: Bacteria; Pseudomonadati; Bacteroidota; Flavobacteriia. The record is from RNAcentral.
CCCUAUGGGUUGUAAACUGCUUUUAUUUGGGAAUAAACCUCUUUACGUGUAGAGAGCUGAAGGUACCAAAUGAAUAAGCACCGGCUAACUCCGUGCCAGCAGCCGCGGUAAUACGGAGGGUGCAAGCGUUAUCCGGAAUCAUUGGGUUUAAAGGGUCCGCAGGCGGAUUUAUAAGUCAGUGGUGAAAUCCUAUCGCUUAACGAUAGAACUGCCAUUGAUACUGUAAGUCUUGAAUUCGGUCGGAGUGGGCGGAAUGUGUAGUGUAGCGGUGAAAUGCAUAGAUAUUACACAGAACACCGAUAGCGAAGGCAGCUCACUAGGCCUGAAUUGACGCUCAGGGACGAAAGCGUGGGGAUCAAACAGGAUUAGAUACCCUGGUAGUCCACGCUGUAAACGAUGAUUACUCGUUUUCGGCGAUAUACAGUCGGAGACUAAGCGAAAGUGAUAAGUAAUCCACCUGGGGAGUACGAUCGCAAGGUUG